UACGAAGGUGGCUAGCGUUGCUCGGAAUCACUGGGCGUAAAGCGCACGUAGGCGGCUUUCUAAGUCAGGGGUGAAAUCCUGGAGCUCAACUCCAGAACUGCCUUUGAUACUGAAGAUCUUGAGUUCGGGAGAGGUGAGUGGAACUGCGAGUGUAGAGGUGAAAUUCGUAGAUAUUCGCAAGAACACCAGUGGCGAAGGCGGCUCACUGGCCCGAUACUGACGCUGAGGCACGAAAGCGUGGGGAGCAAACGGG
Molecule: ribosomal RNA, 253 nt
Filed under: uncultured bacterium
Lineage: Bacteria
Description: partial 16S ribosomal RNA
Rfam family: Bacterial small subunit ribosomal RNA
Source: RNAcentral